Long non-coding RNA from Andrographis paniculata, 1157 nucleotides. RefSeq lists it as uncharacterized. The transcript is spliced from 6 exons. The record is from RefSeq and is a predicted model, not a curated record. NCBI's taxonomy places the organism in Eukaryota, Viridiplantae, Streptophyta, Magnoliopsida, Lamiales, Acanthaceae.
UUCCACCCCUUAUUCAAAGUGGCCGCCUCUUACCUACUCUUCCCCCUCUCCCCAUAAAUCCUUUCCGUCCAAAUGCCCGAUCGAAGCAGCGCACUGAAUUGUUCCUCCACCCUCCGUCGCCACCUCCAAUUCUGCCUUCCCAACACCGUCACGAGGGCUGCUUUCUGUCUUUUCCUUCGCAGGCCUAGGUGAAGGGGUUUUUUCUUUGUUUGGAUUUGUGUUGCGAGUAAUCGUUUAAAUCCUCCCUUUGUUCCUCACCGCCGGAGAUUCUUCCAGUUGAAAGUUCGAAAUAUGGAUACAGUUUGGUCAAAAAUGCAGGUUUCUCCAGCUUCACUUAAAUCAGAGCUACAUGCGCCUGCUGAAACGUCAAAGCAAACUCCUGGUACAGGCCCUUCCCCUUAAGUUAAUUUUGCUACUGAUAUUUUGGACAUGCUUUCAGUGGAUGGUCCUGGUGAAAAUACAAAUGGAGGAGCAUCUGAGGAUGACGACUCAUGGGCAGUAUUUAAGGCUUGCAGCUGCUGAUACAACAUCAUCCAUAGAGACGAACCAAACUGCUAUACCAGAAAAACUUGGUGAUAAAAACUCCGAGUCUUCAUCUCGAAUCGAAGACCUAUUUAAGGAUACAAACAUCAAUCCAAUAUUGUCUCGCCACGCAGAAAAGCAACAACAACUUGCUAUACUAUCUCAAAAAACAGUCCCUUCUAAUGGCUUCCGAAUCUAAUGCUUCUGAUGCCCGGAAUGAUGGUGCCAGAAAAACACAAUGUUGACUCGGAGAAAUAUCUGCAGAAUGAAUGCAGAGAAGGGUAUCUACCUCAACAAUCUUAGUAUGUCUGGUACAGUAGCUGGAACUCUGGAGUUCAUCACCAUAUGUAUCGCUUGAUUGGAUUUUAUCUCAUGGAUUUUACCCUAAUGCUGCAAUGGGUCAGCUAUGCUGAAAAGACAGUUUAUGAUGAUGCUCAUGGUUGAUUGUUGUUUUCUUAAAUUCCAAUAUGUUAUCUUUGCUUUGGCAAAUAGUUGUUAAAUGGGAGGUUUUGGAGUUUGGUGUAGAUAGAAUUGAUCAUACAUAUUUCACUGUAAAUGGUAUGAUAAUUAGGAUUUCUAGCUUGUUGGUAUAUCUGAUUAAAUGCUAUAUAUGCUCUGGUAUUUAUUUGACAGUU